This 465-nucleotide ribosomal RNA is filed under the name uncultured bacterium. Its description in RNAcentral is "partial 16S ribosomal RNA". It matches the Rfam family "Bacterial small subunit ribosomal RNA", at positions 339 to 795 of the family's 1533-position model. The record is from RNAcentral.
CUACGGGAGGCUGCAGUGGGGAAUAUUGGACAAUGGGGGAAACCCUGAUCCAGCAAUGCCGCGUGUGUGAAGAAGGCCUGCGGGUUGUAAAGCACUUUCGGUUGGGAGGACUGCUUCUAGCACUAAUAUUGUUGGAAGUUGACGUUACCUUCAGAAGAAGCACCGACUAACUCCGUGCCAGCAGCCGCGGUAAUACGGAGGGUGCAAGCGUUAAUCGGAAUUACUGGGCGUAAAGCGCGCGUAGGCGGCUAGAUCAGUCGGGUGUGAAAGCCCCGGGCUUAACCUGGGAACUGCAUCCGAUACUGUCUAGCUUGAGUACAGGAGAGGAGGGUGGAAUUCCACAUGUAGCGGUGAAAUGCGUAGAUAUGUGGAGGAACACCAAUGGCGAAGGCAGCUCUCUGGCCUGAUACUGACGCUGAGGUGCGAAAGCGUGGGGAGCAGACAGGAUUAGAUACCCUAGUAGUC